RNAcentral lists this ribosomal RNA (207 nucleotides) under uncultured bacterium. RNAcentral describes it as "partial 16S ribosomal RNA". It matches the Rfam family "Bacterial small subunit ribosomal RNA", at positions 568 to 774 of the family's 1533-position model. The record is from RNAcentral.
AGCGUAGACGGUUGUGUAAGUCUGAUGUGAAAGCCCGGGGCUCAACCCCGGGACUGCAUUGGAAACUAUGUAACUAGAGUGUCGGAGAGGUAAGCGGAAUUCCUAGUGUAGCGGUGAAAUGCGUAGAUAUUAGGAGGAACACCAGUGGCGAAGGCGGCUUACUGGACGAUCACUGACGUUGAGGCUCGAAAGCGUGGGGAGCAAACA